GACGAACGCUGGCGACGUGCUUAACACAUGCAAGUCGAACGGUGAAGCGCCUUCCUUUUUGGUGGGUGUGGAUGAGCGGCGAACGGGUGAGUAACACGUGAGUAACCUGCCCCCUUCUUCUGGAUAACCGCAUGAAAGUGUGGCUAAUACGGGAUAUUCUGGGUCUGUCGCAUGAUGGGUCUGGGAAAGAUAUUGUUUCGGUGGGGGAUGGGCUCGCGGCCUAUCAGCUUGUUGGUGGGGUGAUGGCCUACCAAGGCGGUGACGGGUAGCCGGCCUGAGAGGGUGGACGGUCACACUGGGACUGAGACACGGCCCAGACUCCUACGGGAGGCAGCAGUGGGGAAUAUUGCACAAUGGGCGCAAGCCUGAUGCAGCGACGCCGCGUGAGGGAUGGAGGCCUUCGGGUUGUGAACCUCUUUCGCCAGUGAAGCAGGCCUGCCUCGUUUGUGGGUGGGUUGACGGUAGCUGGAUAAGAAGCGCCGGCUAACUACGUG
Molecule: ribosomal RNA, 494 nt
Filed under: uncultured bacterium
Lineage: Bacteria
Description: partial 16S ribosomal RNA
Rfam family: Bacterial small subunit ribosomal RNA
Source: RNAcentral